Molecule: long non-coding RNA, 1458 nt
Organism: Equus caballus (horse)
Lineage: Eukaryota; Metazoa; Chordata; Mammalia; Perissodactyla; Equidae
Source: RefSeq, a predicted model, not a curated record
UGGCAAAUUGGUUCUGGCUGUUGGCUGGGAGGUCAGUCGGAGUUGAGGGCCCAGGACCUUGGUUUCUCUCCACAUGAGCCUCUCCAUGAGACUGGGCUUCCUCACAACAUGGUGGCUCCAAGGGCAAGUAGCCCGCGCGUGACAGAGCCAGGAGACAGGCUCCAUGUCCUUUUAUGACCUAGCCUUGACAGUCACACAGCAUAUCACCUCCACACUGCGUUUGUUGAGGUGGUCACAAAGGCCUGCCUGGGUUCAAAAGGAGAGGACCAUCUUCUCUUGAUGGCAGAGCAGCAAGGCUCAUGGUGAGGAUGCCACAUGGGAUUGGAGACAUUGUUAAGUCAUCUUUACAAAUACAAUCGGCUACAGGAGCCACUCUCUUCUGGACUUGAAGAAGAAUGUAAUGGCGGAGACACAGAUGAGUCUGCGACCUGUCUGAGGAAUAGGGGGCAUGUCUACCCAUCCCAAACAGAUUCUCUGCACCUUCUCGCUAAGCAUCUAUCUAACCACCCAAACAAUAACCGGUUUUUGGAGCCAUGGGACCGGUACUGAGCUAGAAGAUGGAUGACCAUCCUUGCCGCCAAGUUUCCAAUACAGAGGGUGAGCAGAUAACAACCCUGUCCGCGUCCACACCUCCGCGUGUCCAGUGGGCUUGCUUUCUCUUUCGGUGUUCAGGCGCAUGAACUGCCAGGCCCUGCUCAAAGCAGUGGGUUUCUGAGUCUUAUAACACAAUGACAGCAGUCUUGGAGAGCUUCCUUGCUUUGUGGAAUGUCAGGAUGUACUCUCCUGCCCCAGACCUGGAAUCAGCCAUUUCUCCACGGAGCCUCGGUUCCCUUUAGUGGGAAAUAUAUUUAGAAACCAGAAUCUGGCCUCUAAGGACGCUCGUUGCUUCUAGGUUGGCUAUUAUUUCCAGGUCUUUUCAGUGGACAGAGAGGAGAUGAAGAAUAUUAGGGGAGGAGUAGAUUUUGGAGGGUAAAGGAAAGACUAACUUUUGUCAAUCAUUUGUCUAUUAUCCAUCAUUUAGAUUGUAUUUUUUAUAAUAAUAAUAAAUAAUCUGUUAAAAUACUUUUAAUUACAGUUUUUUCCCCUUCGAAUUCAUUUGCUUAGAACAAUUUACUUUUGUAGGUUUAUUAGGACAGAGGACAGGAGCACCCUGCUGUCUUGCCUAAUUAUUUCCCCAUAGGAUAUGUAUACAGGAUCAGCUACGGAAUUUGCAGGGCCCAGCGUAAAGUGAAAAUGCAGGGCCCUCGUCCCCAAAGCAGUCAAUAAGUUCCACUAAGGUACUAAAACAUAAAGUUUUUUUCUUUCUUCCGCUGUCCUUCCUUUCUCUCUCCCUCUCGUCUCAGCCUUCUUCCUGUCCUGGUCGUUUUUUUUGUUUGUUUUCGGUUUUUUUGAAGAUUGGCACCUGAGCUAAUAUCUGUUGCCAAUCUUCUUUUUUUUCUUUUCCCCAAAGCCCCCCAG